UACGUAGGUGGCGAGCGUUGUCCGGAUUUAUUGGGCGUAAAGCGCGCGCAGGCGGGUUGUCUAAGUCUGCUGUGAAAUCUCCCGGCUCAACUGGGAGGGGCGGCGGAGACUGGGCGACUGGAGGGACCUAGAGGCCGGUGGAAUUCCCGGUGUAGUGGUGAAAUGCGUAGAGAUCGGGGAGGAACACCUGGUGGCGAAGGCGGCCGGCUGGGGGUACCCUGACGCUGAGGCGCGCGC
This 237-nucleotide ribosomal RNA is filed under the name uncultured bacterium. Its description in RNAcentral is "partial 16S ribosomal RNA". It matches the Rfam family "Bacterial small subunit ribosomal RNA", at positions 524 to 758 of the family's 1533-position model. The record is from RNAcentral.